UACGUAGGGUGCGAGCGUUAAUCGGAAUUACUGGGCGUAAAGCGUGCGCAGGCGGUUCGUUAUGUCCGCUGUGAAAGCCCCGAGCUCAACUUGGGAAUGGCAUUGGAAACUGGCGGGCUGGAGUGUGGCAGAGGGGGGUGGAAUUCCACGUGUAGCAGUGAAAUGCGUAGAGAUGUGGAGGAACACCGAUGGCGAAGGCAGCCCCCUGGGCCAACACUGACGCUCAGGCACGAAAGCGUGGGGAGCAAACAGG
This 253-nucleotide ribosomal RNA is filed under the name uncultured bacterium. RNAcentral's name for it is "partial 16S ribosomal RNA". It matches the Rfam family "Bacterial small subunit ribosomal RNA", at positions 524 to 776 of the family's 1533-position model. The record is from RNAcentral.